CUUUCAGUGAGUGGCGAACGUUUGAGUAACACGUGGACAACCUGCCUCAAGGCUGGGGAUAACAUUUGGAAACAGAUGCUAAUACCGAAUAAAACUCAGUGUCGCAUGACACAAAGUUAAAAGGCGCUUUGGCGUCACCUAGAGAUGGAUCCGCGGUGCAUUAGUUAGUUGGUGGGGUAAAGGCCUACCAAGACAAUGAUGCAUAGCCGAGUUGAGAGACUGAUCGGCCACAUUGGGACUGAGACACGGCCCAAACUCCUACGGGAGGCUGCAGUAGGGAAUCUUCCACAAUGGUCUAAAGCCUGAUGGAGCAACGCCGCGUGUGUGAUGAAGGCUUUCGGGUCGUAAAGCACUGUUGUAUGGGAAGAACAGCUAGAAUAGGGAAUGAUUUUAGUUUGACGGUACCAUACCAGAAAGGGACGGCUAAAUACGUGCCAGCAGCCGCGGUAAUACGUAUGUCCCGAGCGUUAUCCGGAUUUAUUGGGCGUAAAGCGAGCGCAGACGGUUGAUUAAGUCUGAUGUGAAAGCCCGGAGCUCAACUCCGGAAUGGCAUUGGAAACUGGUUAACUUGAGUGCAGUAGAGGUAAGUGGAACUCCAUGUGUAGCGGUGGAAUGCGUAGAUAUAUGGAAGAACACCAGUGGCGAAAGCGGCUUACUGGACUGUAACUGACGU
This 673-nucleotide ribosomal RNA is filed under the name Leuconostoc sp. MYb81. RNAcentral's name for it is "bacterial SSU rRNA". It matches the Rfam family "Bacterial small subunit ribosomal RNA", at positions 85 to 746 of the family's 1533-position model. Lineage: Bacteria; Bacillati; Bacillota; Bacilli; Lactobacillales; Lactobacillaceae. The record is from RNAcentral.